Molecule: ribosomal RNA, 253 nt
Filed under: uncultured bacterium
Lineage: Bacteria
Description: partial 16S ribosomal RNA
Rfam family: Bacterial small subunit ribosomal RNA
Source: RNAcentral
UACGGAGGGUGCAAGCGUUAUCCGGAUUUACUGGGUUUAAAGGGUGCGCAGGCGGAUAUGUAAGUCAGUGGUGAAAUCUCCGGGCUUAACCCGGAAACUGCCGUUGAUACUAUAUAUCUUGAAUGCUGUGGAGGUAAGCAGAAUAUGUCAUGUAGCGGUGAAAUGCUUAGAUAUGACAUAGAACACCAAUUGCGAAGGCAGCUUACUACAGGGACAUUGACACUGAGGCACGAAAGCGUGGGGAUCAAACAGG